RNAcentral lists this ribosomal RNA (495 nucleotides) under uncultured bacterium. RNAcentral's name for it is "partial 16S ribosomal RNA". It matches the Rfam family "Bacterial small subunit ribosomal RNA", at positions 28 to 507 of the family's 1533-position model. The record is from RNAcentral.
GACGAACGCUGGCGGCGUGCCUAAUACAUGCAAGUAGAACGCUGAAGGAGGAGCUUGCUUCUCUGGAUGAGUUGCGAACGGGUGAGUAACGCGUAGGUAACCUGCCUGGUAGCGGGGGAUAACUAUUGGAAACGAUAGCUAAUACCGCAUAAGAGUAGAUGUUGCAUGACAUUUGCUUAAAAGGUGCAAUUGCAUCACUACCAGAUGGACCUGCGUUGUAUUAGCUAGUUGGUGGGGUAACGGCUUACCAAGGCGACGAUACAUAGCCGACCUGAGAGGGGGAUCGGCCACACUGGGACUGAGACACGGCCCAGACUCCUACGGGAGGCAGCAGUAGGGAAUCUUCGGCAAUGGACGGAAGUCUGACCGAGCAAUGCCGCGUGAGUGAAGAAGGUUUUCGGAUCGUAAAGCUCUGUUGUAAGAGAAGAACGAGUGUGAGAGUGGAAAGUUCACACUGUGACGGUAUCUUACCAGAAAGGGACGGCUAACUACGUG